GGCAAUACAUUAGAAGCAAACUCAAACGGUGGAAGACACAAACCAUAGUAAACCUGCUACUACUAGGGUUUUUCGAAAAAAGAUGAGGGGUAGCCACAUGAUGAUCGUCUGCCUCGUUCUUCUAGUGUUAGCUUCAGGUAUCUUAUGUAGUGAUGCUUUUUUACUUCAUAUACAUUUCGAGAUGUAUAAUCUACCCAGUGCUUUUUGAUUUUUUUAAUUGAUGAUUUCUUUGUGGGGAAUAUUCAUCAUAUAUGAAGGUACGGCGACAGCAUCGACAAUGCAAGGCGGAUCUCUAACCGGAACAAACUGCAUAGUCAAAACCCCUAUGCCUUGUGAUCAGAUCAAGAGAUGUGUAGAUAUGUGCAACUCCUUGUCUCCGGUACGCGGCAAGCCUGAGAUUAGUUGUGUUGACAAAGAAUGCAGGUGCACGUUUUGUUGAAGUUCGACAUGAAUCUACAAAGAAGACAUUUAUUUCCUUGUUAUCGGAGCAGGGGCGAUCAUCGUGUGUGUGUGCGCGUGUGUGUUAGCAAUAUUUGGUACCAGAAUAUCAAAACAAUAAAUGGCAUGAAUUUUUUGAUUCCGCAUGGAACAUCAUGUAACCAGAUCGGUAGCAGAUUGUUGCUGGCUAAUCCAUAUGUGCGGACUUCGUGACAUACUGGCAUACAUGAUCAAAUCUCUGUCUGUGUUGCUUUCAACAGAUAGUACUCGGUCAGAUUGGGACUUGUUGCCGUCCUUGUCUUCUGUUUUCAUUCUUUUUCAACCUUCUUCCCCAAAUCAUACUCUUUUCUUUUCUUUUUCUCCCCAAAAUAUAUCCGCUUCUUUUACAAAAUCAUACUCAAUUUAUGAGAUGGUAGAUUGCGUUUGGUCAGAAG
This 872-nucleotide long non-coding RNA is filed under the name Hordeum vulgare. RNAcentral's name for it is "long non-coding RNA (HVUL_LNC008584)". Lineage: Eukaryota; Viridiplantae; Streptophyta; Magnoliopsida; Poales; Poaceae. The record is from RNAcentral.